This 427-nucleotide ribosomal RNA is filed under the name uncultured bacterium. RNAcentral's name for it is "bacterial SSU rRNA". It matches the Rfam family "Bacterial small subunit ribosomal RNA", at positions 355 to 774 of the family's 1533-position model. The record is from RNAcentral.
UAAGGAAUAUUGGACAAUGGGCGCAAGCCUGAUCCAGCCAUGCCGCGUGCAGGAUGAAGGCCUUCGGGUUGUACACUGCUUUUGUACGGAACGAAAAGACUCUGGUUAAUACCUGGGGUCCAUGACGGUACCGUAAGAAUAAGCACCGGCUAACUACGUGCCAGCAGCCGCGGUAAUACGUAGGGUGCGAGCGUUAAUCGGAAUUACUGGGCGUAAAGCGUGCGCAGGCGGUUAUAUAAGACAGUUGUGAAAUCCCCGGGCUCAACCUGGGAAUUGCAUCUGUGACUGUAUAGCUAGAGUACGGUAGAGGGGGAUGGAAUUCCGCGUGUAGCAGUGAAAUGCGUAGAUAUGCGGAGGAACACCGAUGGCGAAGGCAAUCCCCUGGACCUGUACUGACGCUCAUGCACGAAAGCGUGGGGAGCAAACA